RNAcentral lists this ribosomal RNA (760 nucleotides) under uncultured bacterium. Its description in RNAcentral is "bacterial SSU rRNA". It matches the Rfam family "Bacterial small subunit ribosomal RNA", at positions 28 to 775 of the family's 1533-position model. The record is from RNAcentral.
AGCGAACGGUGGCGGCGUGGAUUAGGCAUGCAAGUCGAGCGAGAAAGACCUAGCUUGCUAGGUCGAGUAAAGCGGCGAACGGGGAGUAACGUAUGGAUAGUCUACCCUCGACUCGGGGAUAACAGCUGGAAACGGCUGCUAAUACCCGAUGGCUCCGGUAGCAGGUACUGCGGCCGGAUAAAGGUGGGAAACUGCCGAUCGAGGAGGGGUCCAUAUCCCAUCAGCUAGUUGGCGGGGUAACGGCCACCAAGGCGACGACGGGUAGCCGGACUGAGAGGUUGACCGGCCACAUCGGGACUGAGACACUGCCCGGACUCCUACGGGAGGCUGCAGUCGAGAAUCUUCUGCAAUGGACGAAAAGUCUGACAGAGCGACGCCGCGUGCAGGAUGAAGGCCCUCGGGUUGUAAAACUGCUGUCACUCGUGAAGAACGUCCGCACUCAAAUGCGGGCUGACGUUAGCGAGAGAGGAAGCCACGGCUAACUUCGUGCCAGCAGCCGCGGUAAGACGAAGGUGGCAACCGUUGCUCGGAUUCACUGGGCAUAAAGCGCACGUAGGUGGCUUGGAAGGUCAUUGGUGAAAGCCCACGGCUCAACCGUGGAAUUGCCGAUGAAACCACCUUGCUUGAGGACGGGAGGGGAGAGUGGAACUCUUGGUGUAGCGGUGAAAAUGCGUAGAUAUCAAGAGGAACGCCGGUGGCGAAAGCGACUCUCUGGACCGAUCCUGACACUGAGGUGCGAAAAGCUAGGGGGAGCAAAACA